ACGCUCUUUACAACUAAUGAGUCAUAAAUAAGAGGAAAAACAUUUUCACUCUUGAGCAUCCUCGGAAGACGGUUAGAUUUUGGAGUUUUCACAACAAGAGCAAACUUAAGGCAACUUUCUUCUUGAAAAUGUUGGAGACUGAGAUGCAGAUGUUAACAGACAACUCUGCAUGGAAUUGGAGGAUAAGAGUAUAUAACUGAAUGCAUUCUGUCUGGAUUUCUGUAUGGUGACAGAAGGCUUUGAUAAUCAAGACAAUCAAGAAUUGGAGUGGCUAAGAAUCAGAUGGAGACCAAAUGUCAGUUCACAUGGAAUACCAGGGUUUGCAAAGGAGGACAUUGGAACUGGCUUAAGUAUUCAAAUUUCUGAUGGCAGUUGAUGACAGAAGAUGUCAUACUUAGGGAAACAUUAGAUUAAAUUACUUUGAAUGAUAUAAAAACAUCAAACGACAGGGGAAAAAAGAGGACUGCCUAUUUCCGAUAUAUCGAUCUCUUCACAUAGCAACACCCAAAGCACUACCAUCGAAAAAUUAAAAUCAAUAUUUAGGAAGAAAAAAUGAAGACAUUGAUCAUAAAGAAAAGAAGUAGGAAGAGUUUUGAAUAUUAUGUCAAGUUGUCAACAACACCACAGAUCUGGAAAUGGAUUUUC
Long non-coding RNA from Saccostrea echinata, 645 nucleotides. RefSeq lists it as uncharacterized. The record is from RefSeq and is a predicted model, not a curated record. Lineage: Eukaryota; Metazoa; Mollusca; Bivalvia; Ostreida; Ostreidae. The transcript has 4 exons.